GDGUGCGAUCAUACCAGCACUAAUGCACCGGAUCCCAUUAGAACUCCGAAGUUAAAAGUGCUUGGGCGAGAGUAGUAUUAGGAUGGGUGACCUCUUGGGAAGUCCUCAUGUUGCACCCC
Molecule: ribosomal RNA, 119 nt
Filed under: Nelumbo nucifera (sacred lotus)
Lineage: Eukaryota; Viridiplantae; Streptophyta; Magnoliopsida; Proteales; Nelumbonaceae
Source: RNAcentral